AAAUGUUCUGAUAAACAUGCAUUCUCACCGUGGAGCUAAAUUUGACUCCCAUCUUUUGUCUGUCUAUCUUUUUAUGAAACAAAACGCAAGUGGACGCAAACACUGCUGAUCCUGAGGAUGGUGUUUCUUACACCUCUGUCAGUUUCACCAAGACGACCAACAGUAAAGCCCAGGUUCAAGGAAAUGUUGGUGACGAUGAAGGUGAUGCAGUGACCUACAGCACAGUGAAAGCUU
Molecule: long non-coding RNA, 234 nt
Organism: Epinephelus fuscoguttatus (brown-marbled grouper)
Lineage: Eukaryota; Metazoa; Chordata; Actinopteri; Perciformes; Serranidae
Exons: 3
Source: RefSeq, a predicted model, not a curated record